AUUGAACGCUGGCGGAAUGCUUUACACAUGCAAGUCGAACGGCAGCACGGACUUCGGUCUGGUGGCGAGUGGCGAACGGGUGAGUAAUGUAUCGGAACGUGCCCAGUCGUGGGGGAUAACGUAGUGAAAAUUACGCUAAUACCGCAUACGAUCUAUGGAUGAAAGCGGGGGAUCGCAAGACCUCGCGCGAUUGGAGCGGCCGAUAUCAGAUUAGGUAGUUGGUGGGGUAAAGGCCCACCAAGCCAACGAUCUGUAGCUGGUCUGAGAGGACGGACAGCCACACUGGAACGGCGACACGGUCCAGACUCCUACGGGAGGCAGCAGUGGGGAAUUUUGGACAAUGGGCGAAAGCCUGAUCCAGCCAUUCCGCGUGCAGGAUGAAGGCCCUCGGGUUGUAAACUGCUUUUGUACAGAACGAAAAGGUUUCUACUAAUACUAGGAGCUCAUGACGGUACUGUAAGAAUAAGCACCGGCUAACUACGUGCCAGCCGCCGCAGUAA
Molecule: ribosomal RNA, 500 nt
Filed under: uncultured bacterium
Lineage: Bacteria
Description: partial 16S ribosomal RNA
Rfam family: Bacterial small subunit ribosomal RNA
Source: RNAcentral